ACUGAACGGGGAUGAGCCCAGCGCGUAAGCUCGUGUCCCCAAACCGGGCAGGAGCGGUGUCGCGUUGCGGAGGGUCCAGCACGCCGUGCCAUACCGCCUAAGUCAAGCUUGAACGCGGCCACUACCCAUGGAGGGUGACAGGCCCGUAUGGCGGCGCCCGCGAGGGUAGAGAUGGGGCGGUCGGAAAGGACCUCUCUCCGUAGAGUCGGGUUGCUUGAAAGUGCAGCCCAAAGUAGGUGGUAAACUCCAUCUAAGGCUAAAUAUGACCACGAGACCGAUAGCGAACAAGUACCGUGAGGGAAAGUUGAAAAGAACUUUGAAGAGAGAGUUCAAGAGUACGUGAAACCGUCAAGAGCCAAACGGGUGGAGGCUCGAAGGUCGAAUUGAGGGGAUUCAGCUCGUCGGCGUUGGGCCGGUUGGAGAUGUCACGGAAUGACCCUAGCAGUAUUGGGCGUCCCUCCAGCCGCGCUUGCGUGGCGGGCGUAUUUCGCCUCUUAGUAGGUCGCCGCGACCCGUUGCGGGGAGGUCUAAGGCCCGGAUGGAUUGGUACCCCGCCGCCCGUUAUCCCUCUCCGGGGGGGUCUUGUGGCGACUGGGGGAAACCUCCGGUGUUUCCUGGCUGCCCUGCGACGGUCGAUGAGACGAGCCUCCUCGGCUUGCCGGCCGAGGAGUCUCUCGCGGCGUACAAAAGGUCCAACAUGUGUGCGAGUCAUUGGGCGCACUAAACCCAAAGGCGCAAUGAAAGUGAGAUGGCCUGGCUUGAUGAGGUUUGGGGGUUUGGGGGUCUUCUUGUUUCUUCUCGUCGUCGUCCUCCUCUAGGCUGCAUAGGCCGAAAGGGGCGACGGUGGGGGUGACGGGUUGGUUUCUCUCCCUCUCUCCGACUCUCGCCGCUCGGCCAGGGCCGAUCCCCGACCGGCUGCCGUCUCGGGGUUCCUCGGUCGUCCUUCUCGCGUGUCGGGCAAGCAGGGUGAGUCCCUUUCCUCUGCCUCUGGCCGCGCGCGGGGUUUACGGGGGCGGUGGGUGGUUUCCCUCGGGGCGGCGAAGGUGUUUUUAUCGUGUGGAAACCUGCGUAACGGCAGGGGGGCGCAGGCCCGGGACUUGCCAUAGACGCCGCACGUUCUCCUAGGAUUAGCAGGUUCCCCCUCUCUUUGUUGGGGGGGUGGUUCCUGUUGCCGAAAGGGAGCGAGCGAUGAGUCGGCAAGUACCAUGAGCAGGCAUGUUGGGACCCGAAAGAUGGUGAACUAUGCCUGGCCAGGAUGAAGCCAGAGGAAACUCUGGUGGAGGUCUGUAGCGAUUCUGACGUGCAAAUCGAUCGUCAGAGCUGGGUAUAGGGGCGAAAGACUAAUCGAACCAUCUAGUAGCUGGUUCCCUCCGAAGUUUCCCUCAGGAUAGCUGGAACUCGCCACCAGGUGAAUUUCAUCCGGUAAAGCGAAUGAUUAGAGGUCUUGGGGACGAAACGUCCUCAACCUAUUCUCAAACUUUAAAUGGGUGAGAUGCCGAGCUUGCUUAGAAGAUGAAGCCUCGGCGACGAAUCGGAGUUCCUAGUGGGCCACUUUUGGUAAGCAGAACUGGCGCUGUGGGAUGAACCAAACGUCGAGUUAAGGGGCCUAAAGGAAUGCUCAUUCAGAUCCCAUCGAAAGGUGUUGGUUGCUAUAGACAGCAGGACGGUGGCCAUGGAAGUUGGAAUCCGCUAAGGAGUGUGUAACAACUCACCUGCCGAAGCAACUAGCCCUUAAAAUGGUAUGGCGCUAAAGCAUUCUCCCGAUACUCGACCGCCGGGGCAUUACCGACUUUGGCGGGGGGGUGGGUUGGUCAUCGUUUGAUGGCGAGCCGCCUUCUUAGCUCGGGUCUCGAAGCCCCGGCGAGUAGGAGGGUCGCGGUGGUGAGCGCUGAAGGGUUCGGCGUGAGCCGGCCUGGAGCCUCCACCGGUGCAGAUCUUGGUGGUAGUAGCAAAUAAUCGAGAGAGACUUCCUUGAAGGCCGAAGUGGAGAAGGGUUCCAUGUGAACAUCAGUUGGACAUGGGUUAGUCGCUCCUAAGCCCAAGGCGAAAGCCUGAUCCCACGUCAGAGGCAACGGCCAAACGAAGGAAGGAGAUAUGUGGAAGAACGAGGAGCGAACAAAACGCGUGUCGUUCGGUGGGUGCGCUUGCAUUUGAGGGACGGACAGACAGACAGACAGACAGACAGAUGAACAGGGCGGGGGUGUGUGUGUGUGUGUUUGUGUUGUGUGUGACACGACACGACACGACACGACANUACAGACACUUUGACUUUAGUUGCCAGUGGGGAUUAGUGGCGAAAGGGAAUACGGUUCUUAUUCCGUAACCAGGACCCGGAUACCAAGCAGGUGUAAGCGCCCUUGCCCCCGGGCUUGGGAAUGCUGCCCUGUGCAGGAGCCCGGUAACGGGAACCAGCUCGCGUUCGUCGGCGGUGGUCCGGGAAAGAGUUUUCUUUUCUGUUUAAGGCGCCGUGACCCUGGAAGCCAUUCGCAGAGAGAAAGGGUGUUAGUAAGACGGUUAGCCGUAGAGCGCCGCGGUUCUUGCGGCGUCCCGCGCGCCACUGCCGGCCCGUGAAAGAUGCGAGGGAGGUAACUGGGGCGAAGCUGACUCCCCAAAGUCAGCGACGCCUACUUUCGGGCCAGUGCGUACCCAUAUCCGCAGCCGGUCUCCGAGGUAAGAAGCCUCUGGUCGAUAGAUUAAUGUAGG
Molecule: ribosomal RNA, 2703 nt
Filed under: Thenus orientalis
Lineage: Eukaryota; Metazoa; Arthropoda; Malacostraca; Decapoda; Scyllaridae
Description: eukaryotic LSU rRNA
Rfam family: Eukaryotic large subunit ribosomal RNA
Source: RNAcentral